RNAcentral lists this ribosomal RNA (492 nucleotides) under uncultured bacterium. Its description in RNAcentral is "partial 16S ribosomal RNA". It matches the Rfam family "Bacterial small subunit ribosomal RNA", at positions 28 to 523 of the family's 1533-position model. The record is from RNAcentral.
GACGAACGCUGGCGGCGUGCUUAACACAUGCAAGUCGAACGGAAAGGCCUCUUCGGAGGUACUCGAGUGGCGAACGGGUGAGUAACACGUGGGCAAUCUGCCCUGCACUUCGGGAUAAGCCUGGGAAGCUGGGUCUAAUACCGGAUCGGACCUCAAGACGCAUGUCUUCUGGUGGAAAGCUUUUGCGGUGUGGGAUGGGCCCGCGGCCUAUCAACUUGUUGGUGGGGUGACGGCCUACCAAGGCGACGACGGGUAGCCGGCCUGAGAGGAUGUCCGGCCACACUGGGACUGAGAUACGGCCCAGACUCCUACGGGAGGCAGCAGUGGGGAAUAUUGCACAAUGGGCGCAAGCCUGAUGCAGCGACGCCGCGUGGGGGAUGACGGCCUUCGGGUUGUAAACCUCUUUCACCAUCGACGAAGGUCCGGGUUUUCUCGGAUUGACGGUAGGUGGAGAAGAAGCACCGGCCAACUACGUGCCAGCCGCCGCGGUAA